The sequence is a ribosomal RNA, 484 nucleotides long. The stretch from base 124 to 277 matches the Rfam family "5.8S ribosomal RNA".
GUGUAUACAUACCUUUGUUGCUUUGGCAGGCCGCCUUCGGGCGCUGGCUUCGGCUGAUUGUGCCUGCCAGAGGACCCCCCAACCCGUUUAUUUAGUGAUGUCUGAGUACUAUAUAAUAGUUAAAACUUUCAACAACGGAUCUCUUGGUUCUGGCAUCGAUGAAGAACGCAGCGAAAUGCGAUAAGUAAUGUGAAUUGCAGAAUUCAGUGAAUCAUCGAAUCUUUGAACGCACAUUGCGCCCCUUGGUAUUCCGAGGGGCAUGCCUGUUCGAGCGUCAUUAUAACCACUCAAGCCUAGCUUGGUAUUGGGGUUCGCGGGUCCGCGGCUCUUAAAAUCAGUGGCGGUGCUGUCUGGCUCUAAGCGUAGUAAUUCUCUCGCUACAGGGUCCAGGUAGUUGCUUGCCAAAACCCUCUUAUUUUCUUAGGUUGACCUCGGAUCAGGUAGGGAUACCCGCUGAACUUAAGCAUAUCAAUAAGCGGAGGAA